RNAcentral lists this ribosomal RNA (301 nucleotides) under uncultured bacterium. Its description in RNAcentral is "partial 16S ribosomal RNA". It matches the Rfam family "Bacterial small subunit ribosomal RNA", at positions 509 to 807 of the family's 1533-position model. The record is from RNAcentral.
CAGCCGCCGCGGGAAUACGUAGGGUGCAAGCGUUAUCCGGAAUUAUUGGGCGUAAAGAGCUCGUAGGCGGUUUGUCGCGUCUGCUGUGAAAACUGGAGGCUCAACCUCCAGCCUGCAGUGGGUACGGGCAGACUAGAGUGCGGUAGGGGAGAUUGGAAUUCCUGGUGUAGCGGUGGAAUGCGCAGAUAUCAGGAGGAACACCGAUGGCGAAGGCAGAUCUCUGGGCCGUAACUGACGCUGAGGAGCGAAAGCGUGGGGAGCGAACAGGAUUAGAUACCCCGGUAGUCCCUGUCUCUUAUAC